GGCCGCCCCCUGCCCCGUGCCAUCAUGGUGGCGGCUCGCCUCCGCCGAGCGGCCCGGCCCGGCCCGGCCCCACAACAUCCACGCAGCGGUGUGCGAUUCGCCCUGCCCGGGCUGACACUGGUUCACGGGGAGAGCGCAGGGCAGUGCUAACUGAAGUGAUAGCAAAUAAUUGUGUUGCAGUUUGAUACAUUGGCUAAACACGCUCCUGUGAACGGCGAAAAAUAUGCAGCCUUCUUCCUCUUCACUCAGUGCGGCACUGAGAAGACAAAAGUGCCUAGUUCAUAUGCACAUGAUGUCACUGUCCUGUUGAUGCAGAGGGAAGCCUGCUCAUUAGAGAGAGGAUAGAAUGUGAAGACUCCACGGCUGACCAAAGUUUCCCCUGCUGCAGAAGAGGAAACAGAGGUCGUCCUUCAUUCACCAGCAGUCUCAUCAAGAAGUGAGCUGCACUGAGCACAUAUUCCAGAAGAAGAAAUUGAAACGGUUGCAGAAGCCCCAUUGCUUUUCAUCACACUUUACAUCCAGAAAAGUUCCAUAAUUUGGUGACAUGAGCAGUUGAAAAUGUUCUGUUUGGAUCAUGUUAUAUUUAACACAACUGCAGUUAGCAUCAUCAGAAAAUUGGCAGGCCAUUUUGCCCCACAUUAGCAUCCCUGAGGAUGCUAACUGAAUUAUACUGGCUGGAUUCCUAUCUGAAAUAGUUUUUCCCUUUUUUUUUCCUCAUCUAUACUCUAUUGUAAAUUGAAUAACAGCCUAAUGAUUUGUCAGGUCACACUGUCCUGCCACAAGAGACAUUGAAUGUUGAUUUACAUUCCACAUUGACAGCAUCAUGACAGAAAGCUUGCCAUCUUGUCUUUCUAAAAAUGUCUGCAAAAUUCAUGGCUCAGUUUGUUUGUUUUUUAUGUGAUUUUAUCCAAUUACUCUGAGCUUUUCCUCCUGCUCCAGAAAAGACAACAUUUUGAUAAUGCCUCUUUGUUCUUGGGUUUUGUUGAAUUCAGCAUCUUUCUACAAGGCCCAGUUUAGUUCAUUGGAAAAGUGAUGGACGUGCUCUCAUUUCUAUUGAUUGUUAUAGAGGAUGGGCUAGAGCCAUAUACAAAUAAAUAAAUAAAUAAAUAAA
This is a long non-coding RNA of Gallus gallus (chicken), 1111 nucleotides long. RefSeq lists it as uncharacterized. The transcript is spliced from 2 exons. The record is from RefSeq and is a predicted model, not a curated record. Lineage: Eukaryota; Metazoa; Chordata; Aves; Galliformes; Phasianidae.